Molecule: non-coding RNA, 286 nt
Organism: Salvelinus sp. IW2-2015
Lineage: Eukaryota; Metazoa; Chordata; Actinopteri; Salmoniformes; Salmonidae
Source: RefSeq, a predicted model, not a curated record
CCCAGGCACGGCCAUGCGCUAGCUGUGGCUGGGAAUAUAGCUUUCCUGUUUGGAGGGGUGUCCACCAUAUCCCAUGAGGAGGAGCAGCCAGUAUAUUUGAAUGACUUCUACAUGCUCACAGUUUCAGCCACUCACAUCACAUGGGAGGUGAUGCCACAGAAUGGGGUUGUACCCUCAGCAAGAGAAGGACACACACUUUGUGUGGUUAAAGGCAAGCUCUACCUGUUUGGAGGAGUGGCCAGUCCGCAGGCUGGAGAAUGUCUUCCUGGAGUCUACUGCUUUGACA